GCCCAGCUGGCUCAGUUGGUAAAGCGUGUGACUCUGGAUCUCAGGGUUGUGACUUCAAGCCCUAUGCUGGGCA
Felis catus (domestic cat) is the source of this 73-nucleotide transfer RNA. It matches the Rfam family "tRNA". Rfam says of the family: Transfer RNA (tRNA) molecules are approximately 80 nucleotides in length. The record is from Rfam. Lineage: Eukaryota; Metazoa; Chordata; Mammalia; Carnivora; Felidae.